GUAAGGAAUAUUGGUCAAUGGACGCAAGUCUGAACCAGCCAUGCCGCGUGAAGGAUUAAGGUCCUCUGGAUUGUAAACUUCUUUUAUAUGGGACGAAAAAAGGUCUUUCUAGACCCCUUGACGGUACCAUAUGAAUAAGCACCGGCUAACUCCGUGCCAGCAGCCGCGGUAAUACGGAGGGUGCAAGCGUUAUCCGGAUUCACUGGGUUUAAAGGGUGCGUAGGCGGGUAGGUAAGUCAGUGGUGAAAUCCUGGAGCUCAACUCCAGAACUGCCAUUUGAUACUAUCUAUCUUGAAUAUUGUGGAGGUAAGCGGAAUAUGUCAUGUAGCGGUGAAAUGCUUAGAUAUGACAUAGAACACCCAUUGCGAAGGCAGCUUACUACGCAUAUAUUGACGCUGAGGCACGAAAGCGUGGGGAUCAAACAGGAUUAGAUACCC
RNAcentral lists this ribosomal RNA (437 nucleotides) under Bacteroidetes bacterium SCGC AAA027-G08. RNAcentral describes it as "bacterial SSU rRNA". It matches the Rfam family "Bacterial small subunit ribosomal RNA", at positions 354 to 787 of the family's 1533-position model. Lineage: Bacteria; Pseudomonadati; Bacteroidota. The record is from RNAcentral.